GCGUCCAGUAAAACUACACAUGCAAAUAUCCGUAAGCCCAGUGAGUUCAGCCCCUUUGUAUUUACUAGAUCGCAAGGAGUAAGUAUAAAGCACGCGUACCAAAAUACGCAGCUAAAAACACUAAGUUUAGCCACACCCCCACGGGAUACAGCAGUGAUAAAAUUUAAGCAAUAAACGAAAGUUUGACUUAGUUAUACUGACAUCAUAGGGUUGGUAAAUUUCGUGCCAGCCACCGCGGUCAUACGAAAAACCCAAGUUAAUAUUCUAUCGGCGUAAAGAGUGCUAAAAACAUUUUAUACAAUAGAGCUAAGACUUGACUUCGCCGUAAAAAGCCCAAGUCAAAGUAAAAGUCAGUCACGAAAGUAACUCUAAUUUUUACAGCACUAAAGCUAUAACCUAAACUGGGAUUAGAUACCCCACUAUAUUUAGCCGUAAACAUAAAUAGUUCAUAACACUACUAUUCGCCAGAGAACUACAAGCCACUGCUUAAAACUCAAAGGACUUGGCGGUGCUUUAUAUCCGUCUAGAGGAGCCUGUUCCAUAACCGAUGAUCCCCGAUCUACCUCACCACUUCCUGCUAAUCCAGUCUAUAUACCGCCAUCUUCAGCUAACCCUAAAAAGGAAUCAAAGUAAGCAAAAUGAGUAAUCACUAAAGAAGUUAGGUCAAGGUGUAACCUGGAAGUGGAGCGAAAUGGGCUACAUUUUAUAUCACUAGAGCAUUACGCAACCCUAAGUGAAAUCCAUAGGAUAACGGAGGAGUUAGUAGAAACUUAAAACUAGAGGUUAAGAAACAGACCAACAAGCACGAGCG
RNAcentral lists this non-coding RNA (811 nucleotides) under Dipodomys merriami (Merriam's kangaroo rat). Lineage: Eukaryota; Metazoa; Chordata; Mammalia; Rodentia; Heteromyidae. The record is from RNAcentral.